AACGAACGCUGGCGGCAUGCCUAACACAUGCAAGUCGAACGAGACCUUCGGGUCUAGUGGCGCACGGGUGAGUAACGCGUGGGAACCUACCCUUAGCUUCGGGAUAACUCCCCGAAAGGGGUGCUAAUACCGGAUAAUGUCUUCGGACCAAAGAUUUAUCGCGGUUGGAUGGGCCCGCGUUGGAUUAGCUAGUUGGUAGGGUAAAAGCCUACCAAGGCGACGAUCCAUAGCUGGUCUGAGAGGAUGAUCAGCCACACUGGGACUGAGACACGGCCCAGACUCCUACGGGAGGCAGCAGUGGGGAAUAUUGGACAAUGGGCGAAAGCCUGAUCCAGCCAUGCCGCGUGAGUGAUGAAGGCCUUAGGGUUGUAAAGCUCUUUUACCCGGGAUGAUAAUGACAGUACCGGGAGAAUAAGCCCCGGCUAACUCCGUG
This 433-nucleotide ribosomal RNA is filed under the name uncultured bacterium. RNAcentral describes it as "partial 16S ribosomal RNA". It matches the Rfam family "Bacterial small subunit ribosomal RNA", at positions 29 to 507 of the family's 1533-position model. The record is from RNAcentral.